RNAcentral lists this ribosomal RNA (336 nucleotides) under Triticum aestivum (bread wheat). RNAcentral describes it as "partial small subunit ribosomal RNA". The record is from RNAcentral. Lineage: Eukaryota; Viridiplantae; Streptophyta; Magnoliopsida; Poales; Poaceae.
AUGAGGCCUGUGGAUACAGUCAUUGAUCGAGUAUCGGACCUCAUUGAUACUGAUCAUUGGACUUGGAAACAUGAUGUGAUUACGGAGAACUUCACCGUUCGGGAUGCUGCUGCCAUCCUAAACAUCCCCGUCAAGCAAGGUGGAGGUGAAGAUUUCCCCUCUUGGGCUUUUGACAAAUCAGGGAACUAUACUGUAAAAACGGCGUACCGCGCUCUUGUGACUCAGAACGAGCUUUUGGCUCAAGAGGAAGGGACGGCUACCGAAACUUCAACGGACGAUCAACAGUUAUGGAAAUCCCUGUGGAAAUUUAAAGUUAUUCCCAAAGUAAGAGUAUUU